RNAcentral lists this unclassified non-coding RNA (328 nucleotides) under soil metagenome. RNAcentral describes it as "partial contains 5.8S ribosomal RNA, internal transcribed spacer 2, and large subunit ribosomal RNA". The stretch from base 5 to 119 matches the Rfam family "5.8S ribosomal RNA", at positions 40 to 154 of the family's 154-position model. The record is from RNAcentral.
GAUGAGAACGUAGCGAAAUGCGAUAAGUAAUGUGAAUUGCAGAAUUCAGUGAAUCAUCGAAUCUUUGAACGCACAUUGCGCCCCCUGGUAUUCCGGGGGGCAUGCCUGUCCGAGCGUCAUUACAACCCUCAAGCUCAGCUUGGUAUUGGGCCCCGCCGACCCGGCGGGCCCUAAAGUCAGUGGCGGUGCCGUCCGGCUCCGAGCGUAGUAAUUCUUCUCGCUCUGGAGGUCCGGUCGUGUGCUCGCCAGCAACCCCCAAUUUUUUUCAGGUUGACCUCGGAUCAGGUAGGGAUACCCGCUGAACUUAAGCAUAUCAAUAAGCGGAGGA